AAAUAGGAAGUGAAAUAUUACACCCAAUUUCGACUUGGUUUUUGAUUAAAUAUCCCUAUUUA
This 62-nucleotide transfer RNA is filed under the name Chaleponcus netus. RNAcentral's name for it is "tRNA-Arg". The record is from RNAcentral. Lineage: Eukaryota; Metazoa; Arthropoda; Diplopoda; Spirostreptida; Odontopygidae.